AUUACCUUGGCAGAUUAGUGCAUUAAAUUUAGAAUUUAAGAUUAUAUAUAUAUGAUUAUAUAGGUAAUA
This 69-nucleotide transfer RNA is filed under the name Tetramorium tsushimae. RNAcentral's name for it is "tRNA-Leu". The record is from RNAcentral. Lineage: Eukaryota; Metazoa; Arthropoda; Insecta; Hymenoptera; Formicidae.